AUUGAACGCUGGCGGCAGGCCUAACACAUGCAAGUCGAACGGUAACAGGAAGCAGCUUGCUGCUUUGCUGACGAGUGGCGGACGGGUGAGUAAUGUCUGGGAAACUGCCUGAUGGAGGGGGAUAACUACUGGAAACGGUAGCUAAUACCGCAUAACAUCGCAAGACCAAAGAGGGGGACCUUCGGGCCUCUUGCCAUCGGAUGUGCCCAGAUGGGAUUAGCUAGUAGGUGGGGUAACGGCUCACCUAGGCGACGAUCCCUAGCUGGUCUGAGAGGAUGACCAGCCACACUGGAACUGAGACACGGUCCAGACUCCUACGGGAGGCAGCAGUGGGGAAUAUUGCACAAUGGGCGCAAGCCUGAUGCAGCCAUGCCGCGUGUAUGAAGAAGGCCUUCGGGUUGUAAAGUACUUUCAGCGGGGAGGAAGGGAGUAAAGUUAAUACCUUUGCUCAUUGACGUUACCCGCAGAAGAAGCACCGGCUAACUCCGUG
Molecule: ribosomal RNA, 490 nt
Filed under: uncultured bacterium
Lineage: Bacteria
Description: partial 16S ribosomal RNA
Rfam family: Bacterial small subunit ribosomal RNA
Source: RNAcentral